UACCUGGAAUGCCUCAGAGGAAGAUGGA
RNAcentral lists this non-coding RNA (28 nucleotides) under Mus musculus (house mouse). Lineage: Eukaryota; Metazoa; Chordata; Mammalia; Rodentia; Muridae. The record is from RNAcentral.